UACGUAGGGGGCAAGCGUUGUCCGGAAUCAUUGGGCGUAAAGAGCGUGUAGGCGGUUCGGUAAGUCCGCUGUAAAAGUCCAGGGCUCAACCCUGGAAAGCCGGUGGAAACUGUCGAACUAGAGUCCGGAAGAGGCGAGUGGAAUUCCUGGUGUAGCGGUGAAAUGCGUAGAUAUCAGGAGGAACACCGGUGGCGAAGGCGGCUACCUGGACAGAAACUGACGCUGAGGCACGAAAGCUAGGGGAGCAAACAGG
Molecule: ribosomal RNA, 253 nt
Filed under: uncultured bacterium
Lineage: Bacteria
Description: partial 16S ribosomal RNA
Rfam family: Bacterial small subunit ribosomal RNA
Source: RNAcentral